AGAAAAAGAAAAAAAGACAUGCCUGGUACAGAGUAGUUACAUAAUAACUAUUUGUGGAAAAUAUAAGUUACUCUAUUUUCUCUGUAUUUAAAAUAUUUCGUAAUACAUUUAAUUAAAACUAUAGUUUUAUUUUAAAAACUCAAAUAAUUUAUAAACAUGUACAGUAAAAAAGUCUUCUUACCCUUCUCCAGGGAUAACAUUUUAAUGUGUAUUUUCCAGACACUUUUAAAAUAUUGUCUACACAGGAUACUACGAUUAUUUUAUAGUUUGUUUUCAGCACAGCAGCUUAUUUGUAAAAUUAUGGGAAAAAAAACAUUUUUGAGACCCAGAGUCUGUCAUUCUCAAUUCAGUCCAUUUUCAAAGAUGUGACAAAUCUACCUUUACAUUCAUGACCACAACCUUCAAAAGUGCGCCUCUGGUACUGCCAGGCAAACACAUAUGGUUUCCCUAAUCCAUUCACUCCUCCUCUGCUAGAAGACUUAUUUAGUAGUCUUUUUUUAUUUCAAUUUCUACUACCUCGAUCUUAGCUGAUGAUCGUCCUUUCUAUUUCACUAAGCAAGAAGAAAUCAGGAGACAGCCUGCACAAGUUCUCAUCACCACAUCUACCAGCCUCCUGAAUCUGUACCCAUAUAUCCAUUAUCCUGUCUAAAGUGAACACCUCCAUAUAUGCUGCUAUUUUCUACUCAAGGACACUGCUUUAGCAGUUCUCCUUGCUCUCCUACAUCAUCAAUUUUUCCUCUUGAUAAUAGGCUAAGAAGUCAGGAACAGAAAGACAAAUAGCAUGAUUGAUCUCACUUAUAUGUGGAAUCUAAAAGUUGAACUUACAGAAGCAGACAGUAGAAUGAUGGUUGCCAGGGGUUGAAGAGUGGAGGGGAAGGGAAAAUGAGGACAUGUUGGUCAAAGGGCACAAAGUUUCAGUUCAAUGGAAUGAAUAAAUUCUGAAAAUCUAUUGUACAGCAUGGAGAAUACAGUUACUAAUAAUGUAUACUUGUAAUUUGCUAAGAGAUCAGAUCUUAACUGUUCUCUACAAAAAAAUGAUGACUGUGUGAGGUGACUGAUAUGUUAAGUAGCUUGAUUUUAUGUCAAAAUAUAGGCUGGGUGUGGUGGCUCACACCUGUAAUCCCAGCACU
Molecule: long non-coding RNA, 1130 nt
Filed under: Homo sapiens (human)
Lineage: Eukaryota; Metazoa; Chordata; Mammalia; Primates; Hominidae
Description: HSALNT0179332
Source: RNAcentral